GUUUGUUCUAAGUAAGUCCAAAUCAAAACCAUUUAUUUUGGCCAAGAUGUGUGGCUCCAUCCAGCCAAUUAGGGAACACUCCUUAUUGGAGUCCAUAAUGAAAAUUAAGUGUUGUUGUCCCCAAAUAAGUGAUGGAUGAUGUUGAAGUUUCUUCCAUGGCUAGUCAUUGAAGUAGGUUCUUCUGAGGAAGAUCUGCGCAAUGCCGAUAAGGAGAAGAAGAUGAGGAGGAUACAGAGAGAGUUAGAGGCGUUCGAGCUAGUGGCGGUGCGAGAUGAGCUGAGAAAAGAAUGGGACGCGAUGCGAUUGCAAGAAGGGGAGCUACAGUCUUCAAUCCCAACUUCUCUGCACCAUAUGCAAUUACAAUGUGAGUCUGGGUUUGGUCUUAUAAAGAUGAGGAAAGAGUUUUUGCUGGGUUUGGUUUAAAUUCUGAGUUUGCUGUUGGGUUUUAUAAAGGCAGGAAAUGUAUUUGAUUUUUCUUGUUCUUGAGCUCUUCUCGAUGGAUUAGAGAUUUUGAUUUUUUUUAUGAGUUAUAAUUUUUGUUGUUUUUGAGUUGUUGGGUUUGUUGUGUUGCUG
Molecule: unclassified non-coding RNA, 573 nt
Filed under: Hevea brasiliensis (rubber tree)
Lineage: Eukaryota; Viridiplantae; Streptophyta; Magnoliopsida; Malpighiales; Euphorbiaceae
Source: RNAcentral